RNAcentral lists this ribosomal RNA (406 nucleotides) under uncultured bacterium. Its description in RNAcentral is "partial 16S ribosomal RNA". It matches the Rfam family "Bacterial small subunit ribosomal RNA", at positions 29 to 526 of the family's 1533-position model. The record is from RNAcentral.
AUUGAACGCUGGCGGCAGGCUUAACACAUGCAAGUCGAGCGAGCGGCGGACGGGUGAGUAAUGUCUGGGAAUCUGCCUGAUGGAGGGGGAUAACUACUGGAAACGGUAGCUAAUACCGCAUACCAUCAGAUGUCCCCAUAUGGGAUUAGCUAGUGGGUGGGGUAAUGGCUCACCGACGCGACGAUCCCUAGCUGGUCUGAGAGGAGGACCGGCUACACUGCAACUCAGACACGGACCCGACUCCUAGGCGAGUCAGAAGUGGAGAAGAUUGCACAAUGGGACAAUGGGCGAUGGAGCCAUGCCGCGGGGGUGCGGGAGGCAUUCGGGUUGUCAAGCUCUUACAGCGAGGAGCGGGUAGUCGGAGAAGAAGCACCGGCUAACUCCGUGCCAGCAGCCGCGGUAAUAC